AGAGUUUGAUCCUGGCUCAGGAUGAACGCCGGCGGUGUGCCUAAUACAUGCAAGUCGUACGCACUGGCCCAACUGAUUGAUGGUGCUUGCACCUGAUUGACGAUGGAUCACCAGUGAGUGGCGAACGGGUGAGUAACACGUAGGUAACCUGCCUCGGAGCGGGGGAUAACAUUUGGAAACAGAUGCUAAUACCGCAUAACAACAAAAGCCACAUGGCUUUUGUUUGAAAGAUGGCUUUGGCUAUCACUCUGGGAUGGACCUGCGGUGCAUUAGCUAGUUGGUAAGGUAACGGCUUACCAAGGCAAUGAUGCAUAGCCGAGUUGAGAGACUGAUCGGCCACAAUGGAACUGAGACACGGUCCAUACUCCUACGGGAGGCAGCAGUAGGGAAUCUUCCACAAUGGGCGCAAGCCUGAUGGAGCAACACCGCGUGAGUGAAGAAGGGUUUCGGCUCGUAAAGCUCUGUUGUUGGAGAAGAACGUGCGUGAGAGUAACUGUUCACGCAGUGACGGUAUCCAACCAGAAAGUCACGGCUAACUACGUGCCAGCAGCCGCGGUAAUACGUAGGUGGCAAGCGUUAUCCGGAUUUAUUGGGCGUAAAGCGAGCGCAGGCGGUUGCUUAGGUCUGAUGUGAAAGCCUUCGGCUUAACCGAAGAAGUGCAUCGGAAACCGGGCGACUUGAGUGCAGAAGAGGACAGUGGAACUCCAUGUGUAGCGGUGGAAUGCGUAGAUAUAUGGAAGAACACCAGUGGCGAAGGCGGCUGUCUGGUCUGCAACUGACGCUGAGGCUCGAAAGCAUGGGUAGCGAACAGGAUUAGAUACCCUGGUAGUCCAUGCCGUAAACGAUGAGUGCUAGGUGUUGGGAGGGGUUUCCGCCCUUCAGUGCCGGAGCUAACGCAUUAAGCACUCCGCCUGGGGAGUACGACCGCAAGGUUGAAACUCAAAGGAAUUGACGGGGGCCCGCACAAGCGGUGGAGCAUGUGGUUUAAUUCGAAGCUACGCGAAGAACCUUACCAGGUCUUGACAUCUUGCGCUAACCUUAGAGAUAAGGCGUUCCCUUCGGGGACGCAAUGACAGGUGGUGCAUGGUCGUCGUCAGCUCGUGUCGUGAGAUGUUGGGUUAAGUCCCGCAACGAGCGCAACCCUUGUUACUAGUUGCCAGCAUUAAGUUGGGCACUCUAGUGAGACUGCCGGUGACAAACCGGAGGAAGGUGGGGACGACGUCAGAUCAUCAUGCCCCUUAUGACCUGGGCUACACACGUGCUACAAUGGACGGUACAACGAGUCGCAAGCUCGCGAGAGUAAGCUAAUCUCUUAAAGCCGUUCUCAGUUCGGACUGUAGGCUGCAACUCGCGGACACGAAGUCGGAAUCGCUAGUAAUCGCGCAUCAGCCAUGGCGCGGUGAAUACGUUCCCGGGCCUUGCACACACGGCCCGUCA
RNAcentral lists this ribosomal RNA (1437 nucleotides) under uncultured bacterium. Its description in RNAcentral is "bacterial SSU rRNA". It matches the Rfam family "Bacterial small subunit ribosomal RNA". The record is from RNAcentral.